RNA transcript from Helianthus annuus (common sunflower), 1075 nucleotides. RefSeq lists it as uncharacterized. The transcript has 4 exons. The record is from RefSeq and is a predicted model, not a curated record. NCBI's taxonomy places the organism in Eukaryota, Viridiplantae, Streptophyta, Magnoliopsida, Asterales, Asteraceae.
UCCUUAUUACCUCCAUUAAAAUUUAUGAUGAACACCAAAAGAAUUAAUCUAAUUUUCUGUCAUUAGCUUAUUAACUUGAUUCUAAACAAAACCUCUAUUCAUUUCACAGUUUUCCCCACUUCUAAAUUCUUUUAUCAGCCUCUCUAAAAAUCGCGAAUUCAAGUAAAGAUCAAGGCUAAGGCUCAAGACUUCAUCUCUCGGUUUCUCCCUCAUUUCUUAACGAAAUCCGUGUCAUAAGCUAUGGACAAUCAUCAUGACUCGUACCAUAUCCGUUGCGGGUCGGGGUAUGACACUUUAAAUGUUAUGCAACAUUGGAAAAGAUACACGUACAUAGAGGAUGGAUUUAUGUUUUGUGUUCAAAGUGCACCAAACAACUAUAUCCAGAGGAGGAUGGAUCUCUUAACUAUGUGUGUAAAGAUGACAAUGAUGUGCAACCAAAAUUCAUGUUAUGUGUCAACGCACUCAUCAGCGACUAUACCGACACAAAAGAGGUCACAUUCUAAAAUAAUGUUGGCCAGCAGUCUUUAACACAUGAUGAUGAAGCAAGGGUUUACAGAUUCAAAGAAACUCCCAGACCAAAUAACGCUCAUGGAAGGCAAGGAAAAAAUGAUGCAUCUGUUUGUGAGGAAGGAUCAGUAUGUGGUGACAAGGGUUGUAGAAGAGGCGGCAACAGGUUCAUGUGAUACACCAACAAACACUAUCGGUAAGAGUGCACAUUCGACAACAACGGUGAUCAAGCCUCCAUCAACACCCAAUCCAAAAGCAAGCAUGCCAAAAAGGACAGUAACAGACUCACCAGGUGGCAGCCAUGAUGCUAAGAAAGGUCCCACACAGCUGUGAAGCUAACCAAAAUAUACUUUUGUGAAGUGAAAUGUUCACAAGACUUGUUGGUUGAACAUCAAAAGGACAAUUAAUUUUGUAAAAAAUUUAUAACUUUUGGUUGUACAAUAUGUACCUACAAAGCUGUAAACAGACACGUAACAUGGUUCAUGUCGUUAUGUAACAACCCUGCAUCGCGAGGAGGCCCAAACCUUUGUUUAAGGCAUUGUUGGUUGUACUCUUUGCUUUCUUCGUU